AUGAUCCCCACAUGUUCUGGUGUUAUGGCGAUCUGCGCGAAGGCUUGGAAGGUUAUAGCAAACCUCAUCUUCAGCAAGCCUUUUUGCUUUCAAGGAGUCUAUAUGCACAAUACUUUGAACGUUAUGGGGUGCUUCAACAUUUGCCUCGUGAUAAAUCGCAGCAAAAGUUCAGCAAAACAGAAGAGAAGCGAGGCGACGUCACGAUGACAAGCCCAUCUGAGGUCUUGCGACAGAUCCGACAGAUGUCCAGCAGCAGCAGCAGGAGACAAGCUCAAAAGGCCACAGCAAAGUGAAGAAAUCGAAAGCGACAACCACCGACAUUGACACAGAAGAAAUUGGAUCAAAACCUGAAGUACAAUGCGAGGAAUGUAACAGGAGAACGAACGAACCAGCCUUCCGAGGCAUAGAGUUCACAGAAACGGGAGGCAGAGCCGUAGGAACAUGGCCGAUGGGAUACUUAGUAAAAACCCAGGAUACUACAGGAAUACCAUGCUUACCUAGCACUGAAUACCAGAGCAUCAUAACACCACAUCGGGGACAUCAUCCACAAUGCAACAGGAGGUGAAGACCCAGCAUGGAACCAACAAUUAUAUACAGCGGCUUACAACAUGAUAUCAAUCAGCGGAGCAACAAAGAGGUCACGGUCAUCCUCAGCGACUUCAACUGCCACCUUGCAGUGACAAGCGGACAACACCACUGCCAGCUGGAAUAAUAUAUAAAAGAAGCAGGCAUGUACGCCAGCAAGAAACUGUGACAGUAUUGUAAAAGCAUGACAACACAUACAAGAGAAUGAAAUCCAGUACUGAGGAAUUGUUGACAACAAUUAUCCUCCAAUAGGAAUACUAAGUAAUGUGUACGAGCUUUUCGC
This is a long non-coding RNA of Ornithodoros turicata, 868 nucleotides long. RefSeq lists it as uncharacterized. Lineage: Eukaryota; Metazoa; Arthropoda; Arachnida; Ixodida; Argasidae. The transcript has 5 exons. The record is from RefSeq and is a predicted model, not a curated record.